CACUGUCUCUCUUUAGGUUGCAGAGAGAGAAAGAGAGAAUGGAGCUUCCCUGUUCGACCUGAAUUUAAAAAAAAAAAAUCGAACCUUUUUUAGGGUUUCAGUCUUCUUCUUUAUCACUCUCCACAGAAAAGCUCUUUUGAGUGGGGAAAGCUGUGAAAGAUGCCAGCAAAAGCUGAAAAUGAAGAUAGGAGGUCACGGCAAAGCGCAGAGAAUGUGUUACAAUCAAGUGUAUAUGCUCAACCUUGGUGGAGGGAAGUGGGGAAUAAUGAGAAGAAUUCAAAACCAUCAUUUGGGGAACGCCCCAUAAAUGGUUCUUUUGAAAAUGGAGCUAAUGGUGGUAGAUUGGAUGAUGGGAAUACCUUGAACAAAAAAAGGCCUCCAAAUAUAGUAGCAUCAGAGUCUGGGACUGAUGGAAACAAUGGACCACCAGAAAAUCAUCUCAAAACUGUUCCAUCCUCAACCACCCUUGCAGCGGGGGAACACCUUGAUCCAAAUUCCCAAAUGGAA
Molecule: long non-coding RNA, 507 nt
Organism: Morus notabilis
Lineage: Eukaryota; Viridiplantae; Streptophyta; Magnoliopsida; Rosales; Moraceae
Exons: 3
Source: RefSeq, a predicted model, not a curated record